GUCCACCCGUAACGUUGGACUAGUUGUGGGACCAUUCCACGGUUUCCGUGACGCAGCUAACGCAUUAAGUUCCCCGCCUGGGGAGUACGGCCGCAAGGCUAAAACUCAAAGGAAUUGACGGGGACCCGCACAAGCGGCGGAGCAUGCGGAUUAAUUCGAUGCAACGCGAAGAACCUUACCAAGGCUUGACAUAUACGAGAACGGGCCAGAAAUGGUCAACUCUUUGGACACUCGUAAACAGGUGGUGCAUGGUUGUCAU
This 259-nucleotide ribosomal RNA is filed under the name uncultured bacterium. RNAcentral's name for it is "partial 16S ribosomal RNA". It matches the Rfam family "Bacterial small subunit ribosomal RNA", at positions 793 to 1055 of the family's 1533-position model. The record is from RNAcentral.